Long non-coding RNA from Daucus carota subsp. sativus, 988 nucleotides. RefSeq lists it as uncharacterized. The record is from RefSeq and is a predicted model, not a curated record. NCBI's taxonomy places the organism in Eukaryota, Viridiplantae, Streptophyta, Magnoliopsida, Apiales, Apiaceae. The transcript has 3 exons.
AAAUUUUAUUUUAUUAGUUUUAUGAUAUUUAGAGAUUUAUAAAAAUGUUAUUGUAACUUGUCGGGAAAGGUUUUGUUGCGAGUUAUUUCGAAAAUUAGUUGGAUAGCGGGUUCAAAAUAUUGACUAUGCAGUUUUAAUUAGAUACGUGGCAACUCAAAAACUUUGCACGUGUUUAAUACUUUUCAUCCACCGCCUGUUUUAUUUUCUUUAGCGGAAACAUCACAACUCUCGUCUCUCUUUAAUCUCUCACUCUCGUCUCUCUCUAAUCUCUCAUUCUCUCGCACGUCUCUCUUCUCGCCCAAAUCACUCCUGAUCUUGUGUUUAUGCUCUUUCUCCUUCUGUCACUGUUGCAACCGCCGGGUCUCUGCCGCCGCUUUCUCUCCUGGCCAGAACUGCCACCGCCUGUACUUCCUCUUUCCGGCGACCACCAUAGCCUGUCACCAGUUAUAAAUCAGUGGAAUUGAACGAGACGUUGGCAUUGAUCGAGAAGUGAUUGAAAUGGUUAUUCAGAAAUAGCUAGAUUGUGUUGCAAGUUGAAGUUAGGCAGAGAUUGCUAUAUAUAGAAUCUUGUCAGAAGCUGGCAGAAAGGAAUUAUAUGGCGGUGUAUAGUGUUAUUAGAAAUCUGAGCAAGACACCGGAAUUAAGCUAGGAAUAAAGAUGAUUCACCUAAGACUAGGCAAGGAUUGCAAGUGGUUGAAUUUCAAGCAGAUGGUCAGGUAGAGUAUCCAGGGCGAUGUCAUUAAGAAUAGAUGCAGUUGGAGUUCUGCAAUUCAACUCAGUUGGAGAUUAGAUUUGUUUAUUUGGUUAUCAGCUACUCUUCUUAUCGAGGUUUAGCUGAUAAUGUAGUUUAAUUUGUAAUUAAGAAUUUAGAGUUUUAGUUUCUGAUUUCAAUGCUGUAAUCUGUGUGCGAUCCUGUUUUCAGGGGGUGAAAUUGAUUUUGAAUUUAAAUCAUUUUCUUUUAAAAAAAAAAUAUUCAGGUUUAGAAAUA